UGUUACAAAAUUUAUUCAUUUAUAAUGUUAAAAAUUGGUAUGGCUGACCCGAUAAUGUUAUGUGGCGUGCCACAUAUACCUCAUGCCGACACACAUGAACCAAUUUUUAACAAUAGAAACGGAUGGAAUUUUAAACA
Non-coding RNA from Gossypium hirsutum (cotton), 137 nucleotides. The record is from Rfam. NCBI's taxonomy places the organism in Eukaryota, Viridiplantae, Streptophyta, Magnoliopsida, Malvales, Malvaceae.